RNAcentral lists this non-coding RNA (49 nucleotides) under Trypanosoma lewisi. The record is from RNAcentral. Lineage: Eukaryota; Euglenozoa; Kinetoplastea; Trypanosomatida; Trypanosomatidae.
AGUAAAUACAAUAUGUUGAUUUGGUGUGUAAAUGGAUAGUGAUGUAACU